RNAcentral lists this ribosomal RNA (37 nucleotides) under Sebacinales sp. B KN-2014. RNAcentral's name for it is "partial 28S ribosomal RNA". The record is from RNAcentral. Lineage: Eukaryota; Fungi; Basidiomycota; Agaricomycetes; Sebacinales.
UGACCUCAAAUCGGGUGGGACUACCCGCUGAACUUAU